UAAGAUGUAAAUGGCUGCACUAAUGCCGUGUUACGCCAGGGAAGAAGAAGAACGAGGGAGGCUGAUUUAUGUGUCUCAGAAGGGUCUCAGAUAACUGGGAAAAUUGUGGAUACUAUGAUGGGAAGCUUAAGGGCUUCACAUUGCUACCAAGCUGACGAGGGGUAGUCUCUUGAAUAGAUACUUCCUUAGAGGACUGCCGUUCAUAGAAUCAUCAAAGUAUCAGUUGUCUCUAUGGGCUUUCCUGCGGGCUGCCUUUGCCAUCCACCUGAGAUCUACUUUGGCUUCUAGUUUGCUGGCUUCGAAGCUCAAGAUGUCAUCCGCUCUGGACCUGUUUUCUGGAUAUUCCUCAUAAUUUUAGAUUCAUUUUUUUAAUUAUUUUACUUAAAAUAAAUAAAUUUAAACGAUGUAUGAUUGAAUUAGCUUAUUAAUGUUUAUGAAUAUUAUCAUUUAUUGUUUAA
Long non-coding RNA from Phalaenopsis equestris, 458 nucleotides. RefSeq lists it as uncharacterized. Lineage: Eukaryota; Viridiplantae; Streptophyta; Magnoliopsida; Asparagales; Orchidaceae. The record is from RefSeq and is a predicted model, not a curated record. The transcript is spliced from 3 exons.